AUACUACUAUAAAUCAUCAAGUCAGAUGUAUGCACACUUUGCACAGUACAGUAUACUUGUUAUGAGUUAUGAUCUCUGCUGAUCUGCUCAUAGUGGCUGACUAAUGUGCCUGCACAGGUCUUCAGCAUUGUACUAAGAUGGCCACUUGCGGGUCAUGUUUCUGGUGCAUCAUAUGGCUCAUUGUUCUGCUGUUCAUUGGCUGGCCCAUCAGCAUCGCUUUAGGGGGUCUCUACGGCCUCAUCAGCCCCCUCACCACCUGCCUUGGCCUGGACCGACUGUCUGACUUACUCCUGGAGGGAGCUAAUGUGGGCAGAACCUGUGCCAAUAACAUGAGGCACAGCAAGCCUUUGUGUUGAAAUCCAUCCUGUCUGAUCAGGACCAGAAAAAACAGAGGUCGAAGCCUUCACCUCAGGAAGAACUGUUAAUGUCUGAUUUAUGUGGAGCUAUUCCAGCACGACUGGUGCACAAUUCCCUGAGAAACCUUCCAGCAACUUAUGUCACAAUAAGGUCCAGAAAGUCCUGGAAAAUUGAUUCCUCUCUCACUGGUAACAUGUAAUUAAUCACAGAUUUUAAAUUUGCAUGGGUUUGUCAGGAAGAAAAUAGGCUUGCAGUUCAUGGUCUGUGUUUGCUGUUUAAUUCACAAUGACGCUGCGUGGAGACGAUAAGAACGAAAAUGCCAAUUUAACAAUGAAAAUAUUUAGACUUGGUAAUGUCUGUAUGGAAAUAUAUGGAAAUGCGAUUAAAACUGCUUUGAACUUGCC
Long non-coding RNA from Oreochromis aureus, 761 nucleotides. NCBI's taxonomy places the organism in Eukaryota, Metazoa, Chordata, Actinopteri, Cichliformes, Cichlidae. The record is from Ensembl.